Long non-coding RNA from Arabidopsis thaliana (thale cress), 306 nucleotides. RefSeq annotates it as other RNA. Lineage: Eukaryota; Viridiplantae; Streptophyta; Magnoliopsida; Brassicales; Brassicaceae. The record is from RefSeq. The transcript has a single exon.
CAUUGAAGGGGAACGCAAACAGAUUAGAGGCAAGAAGGGAUAAUCAGAUCUAGAGAAGACAAAGAAGAAUAAGAAAUCGAAAAGAAAACGGAGAUGAAGGUCGAAACAUGACAGACGAGAAAUCAUCAUCACCACGAAGGAGAAACAGUGGCAAAGUGAUUUCUUGUUCUUAAUACUUAUGAGAAGUAUUAAGUGAAGAAGACUGAACCAGAUCGAAGCUAAGCGAAGCAAAGAAAGAAGAAAAAGAGAAAAGAGGAAGGAGGAAGAACAGUUUCAAGAUGGGGUUUUAUGAGACUCAUUCCCGUC